AGAAAAUUCAAUAUCUCCCUUGGGAGGCAGAGUAGUUUUAGUAGUGUGGUGGAUUUGUUACCAACAUAUGUGAUAGGGAUAUCUCUCUCAUCAGUUAAGGUGGAAAGUAGGAUGGAUACUCUCAUAAAAGAACUUUAUUUGGCAAGAAACAGGAAAAAAUGCAUUCCACCUGGUGAAUGAAAGACUAUCAUUAUUUGGAGAUAGGAAAUCAGAAACUUCAGGUAGGAUGUCAGAAGUCCUUUAUUCAAAUAGUUCAGGAGAUACAAUAAUGACAACA
RNAcentral lists this unclassified non-coding RNA (277 nucleotides) under Hevea brasiliensis (rubber tree). Lineage: Eukaryota; Viridiplantae; Streptophyta; Magnoliopsida; Malpighiales; Euphorbiaceae. The record is from RNAcentral.